Molecule: ribosomal RNA, 384 nt
Filed under: Triticum aestivum (bread wheat)
Lineage: Eukaryota; Viridiplantae; Streptophyta; Magnoliopsida; Poales; Poaceae
Description: partial small subunit ribosomal RNA
Source: RNAcentral
AUGGCUCGUGUGGGUGCUGCAGCCUAUCGAUUGGAAUUACCUGCCUCCAGCCUAAUACGUCCAGUCUUCCACAUAUCUCAGUUGAAGCCGUUCACUGCCAACUAUUCUCCUAUUUUUCAAGAAUUACCAAUUCCACCUGAUUUGUCAGCGGUCACACUACAACCAGAGGCUAUUCUUGAUCGCCGUAUGGUGAAGAAAGGGAACUCAUCUAUUCCACAAAUCAAGGUACAAUGGCAUGGUGUCACGGCUGAUCAUGCAACCUGGGAGGACUAUUACAUUCUGCGCGCUUGCUUUCCGUCAGCAACUCUCAGGGACGAGGCUCCAGCUCAAGGGGGGAGGAGUGUCACGGCUCCGUCAGAUCCGACGUCUCUGGAUGACAGAUAG